Molecule: ribosomal RNA, 433 nt
Filed under: uncultured bacterium
Lineage: Bacteria
Description: partial 16S ribosomal RNA
Rfam family: Bacterial small subunit ribosomal RNA
Source: RNAcentral
AACGAACGCUGGCGGCAUGCCUAACACAUGCAAGUCGAACGAUCCCUUCGGGGAUAGUGGCGCACGGGUGUGUAACGCGUGGGAACCUGCCCUUAUGUUCGGAAUAACUCAGAGAAAUUUGAGCUAAUACCGGAUAAUGUCUUCUGACCACAGAUUUAUCGUCUUUGGAUGGGCCCGCGUUGUAUUAGCUAGUUGGUGGGGUAAGGGCCUACCAAGGCGACGAUACAUAGCUGGUCUGAGAGGAUGAUCAGCCACACUGAGACUGAGACACGGCCCAGACUCCUACAGGAGGCAGCAAUGGGGAAUAUUGGACAAUCGGCUAAAGCAUGAACCAGCAAGGCCGCUAGAGUGAUGAAGUCCUGAGGGUUAAAAAGCUCUUUUACCCGGGAUGAUAAUGACAGUACCCGAAGAAUAAGCCCCGGCUAACUCCGUG